UAAUGGCUGCACACCUCCAACAUCAUCCUUUUUGUCAUGUAUUGACUAAUGAAAGAUAAGAUCUGGUACGGUAUGAAGGCAAAAGGAGGACACAAAUUGAUGGUACAGAGUACAGUAGGUAGAUUAAGGGAGUUGUUUUCUGUUAAGCCAUCAUCAAGACAGAAAGUGUUUUUUGUUCUCUCCAUUUCCACUUUACAUUUCCUAUUAUGAUUGUUCCUCUGUCUGUCCAUAAUAUGAUGUCAUGCUUGGCAAAUACCCACCCUGUAACCAAAUCAUUUUCAUUUUCAGCCAGUAAAUUUGAUUUGUUCAUCGUAUCUAGACUUCAAACAGUUCAGAUGGUGCACGGAGAAACCACUAUUGCUAAUACUGGUAGCUCUUUCUUUCUCCUGUAUGUACUGUACGUUUGGGAGUUAUUUAAAAGUCUUACUACCAACAGACAUGUGACAUAAACAAGGUGUGUAUUACCUGAGGACAGUGCCAUACAGCGUCUGCACCAGCAUCUAUUUUGACAGACGUACAAAGGAGGUAUGCUGGUUGUGUUGCAGUGAGAAUUUUUUAGGUUUAGAGACAAUUUUCUUCUAGGAAGCUUUAAACAGGAGAAACUAGGUACAUAGUGGUGGCAAAGAUAAAAGUUUAUACAUUCAAGCCGGGUAUUCUUGCUAUUUCAAAAGACGAAAGGGGAAGAGGGUAGAUUCAAGGUCAGUGGAGGCUGAUGAGAUAAUUUUAAAAUUGGUGAUAGAAAUUCCAGGUUGAAUUUGCCAAGUGAACUUCCUGGAAAACAGUGCACCUUCAGCGAUGACUCAUCCUGCUCAACUCUGUGUAACUAAGAAUACAAUAAAGCCAUAAGAACUGCCGUUCAGUCCAUACCUAAUGGGCUAUUAGAGCUUUGUGUCGAGGUGACUGGAAGAAAAGCUACAGAAGGUCAUUGGGGCUCCUGACGCAGACAAGGAGCUGGGAAAGAAUGAAUUUUAGUGUCUAUUUUCUAGACUCUAAGCAGCUCUUUUCUUAAGUGUGGUACAGAAGAGGGACACUAACAAUAAACUAUUGAUUGCAUAUUUAUGGCACCAGCUGGCCUCGUUUAAUUGUCUUGGUCGUCUUUAAAAACAACACUAGUCUGUUUUGUGUAGGCUGAGGUCAGUUAGCUAAAAGGUGGCGUCCUUUGCCUGUUGAUGAAAGAUGGCAAAGCAUAUGGACCCUGAUAAACCUGCAUUUAAACCCCAGGUUUAUGAAUAUCUCAGGAACAACUUUCUAUGCUUCAGUGCUGAUAGUCUAGUAACAGCUUCAGACUACGUGUGUGGGGGUCUGGUACCAGGGCCACAGGUGUGGGAGAAGCCAGUCUUCCUCAACACGCUCACUCCAGUGGAGUGUGACUUUAAAGGUGUCAGUAUGCUUCAACUGAAGUGGCGUCUGAAACCCCCUCUCCCUACAACUUUCCAAUGUCAAAAUUGAGGGGGCUGUGUCCAACAUUUUCUGUAACGUUCUGAAAGCGACAAUCACACCCACACAGUGAUUGGCCAGCUGUGCUGCGGUGAAAAAGUAAACUACCAUUUUUCAAGCUUUUUUUUUUGUUACACAACUAUUUAAAUCACUUGGCGUGUGUACCAAUGCGUGCACCACCAGAUUGUCCAAAAGUGUGUGCUGUUAUCCCCGCAUGAAGGAUUACGUCCGGCCCCUCUCUGUGACGGCUUUUCACCCCACCUUAAAGUGUGGCCAUUCGGAACAGCUUUAAACACUUCUGCCUUCAGACAUGGUCGGACAAUACGCUGUAGUUUGUUUCGAGCAUACUGACACCUUAAAGGAAUAGCUAGAAAUUUUGGGAAAUAUGCUUAUUCGCUUUCUCGCUGAAAGUUAAAUGAGAAGGUCAAUACCACUCUCCAGACUCCUGGAAGUGACUGGUCCCACCCAAGAAAUAAUCUGGCCCAUUACCUCUCAUUAAACGGCAAAUUGUUGUUUUUACACUUUUUUGUAUGGAUUAAACAAACUAGAUGUAACACGUUAAUUAUUUACCUUUAGAGGUGCUGACAGGUUGAUUUUGCUACCUUCGGACAGAGCCAAGAUAGCUCUUUCCCCCUGUUUCAAGACUUUGUACUAAGCUAAGCUAACCAGCUGCAGCUACAUAUUUAGCAUACAGAUGUGACAGUAGUAUUGCAGCUCAUCUAACUUGCGAUUCAUCUUUCCAAAAUGUCGGACUACUGCUUUAAACGAGACAUAAAUGCACUGGGAAUCCUGAUUCAUCCACGAGGAGAUACACUGAGAUAACACCAGUAUGACUCCUGGAGACGCAGGAAGUUGAGGUCUCAGGGUCAUUGUUCCACUUAGCACUAAACGUGUUCAACCAAAUUCAUGUGUAGCGAAGGGUGCUGUCCCUUUCCACCUUCGACUGCUCAACAUGCAUUUGCUGUAGGCAGAUUAGGUAAUACAAUGUAAAGAAGGAGAUGGUAUUUACAUGCCUUAGGGUAGAUUCUUCUUAUUAUAUUAUAUUAUUAUAUAUCUCUGGGGGAGCCUGUGUGUGCUAGUGAGGAAAAUGGGUUAGCUAUACAUUUUAAAUUAUUAAUACAGUCAAUUAACACAGUGCAUAUGUGAGCAAGUUGUUGCGCACCAGUGUGUCUGUUUUUAAAGGUACUUUUGCGAGUGUUUAUGAGUACAACGCUUUGUAUAGUGAGCACAAUUAAGCAGUCAAAGUCUGUCUUUCUUUGAUUUUUUUUUAAAUCGUAAAUGUCUUCCAUGUCUUUUUCUUUCCUUCACAUUCCCCCCCUCCAUCUCACUAACCGAUUGUGCAUUUUGAAAAGGCACAUCACACUAAGCUAAGCACCAAGAGUGAGCCGCUCAGCCAGUCAGCAGACUCCCACCGAGGAGCAGAAGCAGGUAAAUGUGAUUGUGUCAACUCAUCACAUCAUAAAUGUCAAAGUCUUUCCUUUCCUUCAUUUUCUAGUUGUUUGUCACUUUUUCCCUCUUUCAUUUUCUUGUCACAUCCAGAGGUGCUUAAUUUAGCCGAAACCCAAAUGUUGUGUUAGUGGUUAUAGUUAUGUCUCAGUGAUGAAUCAGAAAUAGAAGCCAUUUAAAUCCUCUUUUGUCUCUCUCUCGCCUUCCCUUUCCGUCCUUUUUGUUGUUUGUCCUCGGUCCCCUGUGGUGUGUACUGCAAUCCGAAUUUGGUUGGUUGAAUUUAAAAUGUAAUAACUCAUUUGGUGUGUAAAACACAGCCAGGUUAUAUGAAAGCAGUCUUCAAUCAUUUUGGCGGUAAGGCAAUGAGAUAUUCAGCCAAAUGAGAGAGCCUGGGCAAGUGGGGGAAAAUUGGGUAAGUGAUUUCAAGCAGGUGCUCUUUCCCACCAGGAAGCACGACAGACAGCAGCUCUGAAAGCCAAUCUAUAAAAACUAAAAACACCCCACUUCAUCUUAAGAGUCUUGAUUACUCUGCUUCUCUUCCCGUAUCUCUACAGGGUUGGUAUUCAACUCUCAAGUUCUCUGUGGUGAACUCGUGCAGGCAACGGGAUUUGAAAGUUUAAAAGAGUACAAAAAACAAACAGCUCGACACGUCCCAAACAACUCUGGGCAGGAACUGAUGGAGGGACAAUCAAUAAUGUGCUCCAAGAAAAAUACAGCCAAGCAACCAACACAUCUGCAACUAAAUAUGUUUUUAUUGGUCACAUGUUAUGUCAGAUGUGGGGUGUGCAGUUGGACCCUUCUCCCCCGACCUCCUCCCUACGCAGUUCCUCCUUCAUAACUACUACGGCUGCUAAAGGGCUUCGCCACUUCAACACAUGUUCUGGGGCACAGAACAACAUGUGUUGAACAGUUAUGUUUAGUUAUCUUAAAUUUAAGAAUAUUUUAAGAUCAAAUCAAUUUACAAGAUGUAUUUUUAUUUCCUGAAGUCUUAACGUCAGCAAUUUGGUACAAAAAAGAUGUCAACUCACAAAUACUGGCUGGUAAUUUCAACUGCAACCUCCCCCAUCAAGUAUCUGCAUUUUCAUAUUGGGUAGCAAGCUGUGGGUCAUCUCUGACAGAAUGUUUAUGGUUCACCAUGUGCAUUUAAUAGAGGCAGUCAUUAAUAUUAAUGUAAUAUUCAAUAAUCAAUAUUCAGCGGCACUUGAAAGGCAAAACAUUUUGCAUGCUGUCGCCCUCUCCAGUGGUGAAACAUGAAAACCACACCAGUUACCAAAAUAUACAGUAACACUGUUGACAUAUAUAUAUACCAGAACACGUAGAUUAUAAAGAGCAUCUACAACCACGUUAAAUGUGUGUUUCAAUCAUCCACUAUACGGAUUAAUAGAUUACAGAUAUAUUGCAUUAAAAACAUUAUGAAGGUUCAGUCUUGACCUUGGGAACACAAAAUAACUGAUUAUUUGACAAAAUAAUCAAUAAUCAACUCAAGGUCCACUUACUGCACUAGCAUUUUCCAGAGCUGUCAACUCCAUCUCACAGUCUUCAGCACGAAUGGAGUUGGCUCAGUUGUCAUCAAGUAUGGAACUUCGAUCAUGUGAUGACAAAGACGGUGGGUCACAAAAACUAAGACAACAUUCACUGAUGAAGACCGUGAGAUGCAGUUGAAAGCUCCGGCAAAAGUUAGUUAGUGGUCAUUGAGUUAGUGAGGACUUGACCCAGACUUGUUUUUUAGGUUCCUAGAUACAAGUCAGUGUUUUAGGUGUUUGACGACAAGUUUGAGUCAUAUUUCACCAUUACACC
This is a long non-coding RNA of Siniperca chuatsi (mandarin fish), 4680 nucleotides long. RefSeq lists it as uncharacterized. The record is from RefSeq and is a predicted model, not a curated record. NCBI's taxonomy places the organism in Eukaryota, Metazoa, Chordata, Actinopteri, Centrarchiformes, Sinipercidae. The transcript is spliced from 3 exons.